This 73-nucleotide transfer RNA is filed under the name Candidatus Aminicenantota bacterium. RNAcentral describes it as "Candidatus Aminicenantes bacterium tRNA-Phe". It matches the Rfam family "tRNA". From Rfam's summary of the family: Transfer RNA (tRNA) molecules are approximately 80 nucleotides in length. Their secondary structure includes four short double-helical elements and three loops (D, anti-codon, and T loops). Further hydrogen bonds mediate the characteristic L-shaped molecular structure. tRNAs have two regions of fundamental functional importance: the anti-codon, which is responsible for specific mRNA codon recognition, and the 3' end, to which the tRNAs corresponding amino acid is attached (by aminoacyl-tRNA synthetases). tRNAs cope with the degeneracy of the genetic code in two manners: having more than one tRNA (with a specific anti-codon) for a particular amino acid; and 'wobble' base-pairing, i.e. permitting non-standard base-pairing at the 3rd anti-codon position. The record is from RNAcentral. Lineage: Bacteria; Candidatus Aminicenantota.
GGCCCGAUAGCUCAGUUGGUAGAGCGAGGGAUUGAAAAUCCCUGCGUCUGUGGUUCGAAUCCACAUCGGGCCA